CGAAAACUCACGACUACUUCAUUUUGCAGUGGAUGACACUCGAUUUUUACAACAGCGGAGACCAUGAACAUCUUCAUUAUUUUCAUCAACAAUAAAUUAUAGAAGGAAAAAAAUAAUAAUUUAAAAAGAUUACCAAAAGCCGGCAGCCUAACUGCACAGCAUGGGUGCUCCAAAUACCAAAGUAUCUAUAUGUGAAUAUGUCUAUGUGUAUUCUAAACCUCUUCAUUACAAAAUGAAUAGAAAUUCAAGGAGAAUCCUUGAAAAGAAAAGACUCAGAAAUACUUUGGAAUCAGAAGCAAACAAAUCAAUAAAUUUUGAUAGUGAUGUCAUAUUCAAUGUGUUGUCUCAAGGUGGACAUUUUACAAUAUCCACAUACAUUGAACUAGAUGUAUUUGCUGAUUCCCACCUUGUUUCAAUUCAGUUCCAACCAAUCAUGACAAAACUUAUAGGAAACCACAUUAAUAGCCACAAUGGUCUGGAAAUUAGGAAUAUUCUGGAAACUUCAAUAGCAAAAACUAGAACUAUUAGGAAAUUUGUUUGGAACUCUGUUAAACAUCAUAAGUUAAUUAGUGACGUAAUAAAAUGCAUUGUUGAUAGGCACAACUUAAUGUUGUCAACACAUCAUUAAACUUAAGUUGAAAUUCUGAUUGUAAAGUGUUUCAUUGUUUCCCUAACUUAAUGCUUUUGCUGUAGAAUUUCCACUUUGGACCAAUUGUACAACCCCCAAAAUGAGUGCCAAAGAUCAAAGCAAAAUCUAAAAAGGUAAUAUUGUUAAAUUUGUAACAUUAGAAAUGUAAACUUUAAAAUAAAGUUUUAUAAUUUCAAGCAGAUGAAGCCAUAUGGGAACAACCUUUAAUGACAACAUUCAACAUGGUAAUGUUAAAAAACUCCACAAUAUCCAGAGACUAGAAAGUAGAUAAUUGGUAAUCAACAAGAGUGGUAACCUCAUUUGUGGCUACCCUAUAAAUUGCCACAAAACUGCAUAACAAAUAUGCUUAUAGUCGUCCAAAACUUGAUCUAAUAAAAAAAUACACAAUCAUAUUUUUUAUUGCGGAAACACCUAAUCUAUCAAGUCCAUCCUAAGACAUAUCAAAGCCUUCUUAGAGAAAUAUAAAUAGAAUAGAGGGUAAUAAGGUCACAAACUUGUUUAUCCCUUUUAGGGCCUGUGAGAUAAGCCUCUAGAAUUUUGUUUGCCGGUUAGAUCAGAACUGAAUUUAAAAUUUCUAAAACCAAUGCAUGGAGAAGCAGUUUUAGAUCAGCUGCUGGUUCAAGUUGAUUGGACACUUGUCCAUGAAAUUUAGAACAAAAUAACUAAUUGAUAAUAAAAUUCUAUUUAUAUGAAUAUGAUAUUUAGACCCUACAUAACUUUAAUUAUAAGAGUGUAGUUAUUUUUUUAUUAAAAUAUUUUAAUUAUGCAGAAUUAUCUGAAACAGAUAUCAAGCAGGUCUUCCUAGCAUAGAAAAUAACACAUAACUAUAUUGCAACAAAACAUUAUGUUAAAAUAAAACACAGCAUUGCAGAAAAACUAUUGCUAAGACAAAAGAAACUCGACAACUAUGACAACCACCAAUGCACACUCUUGGUAACACAGAAAGAUUAGUUUAAAAACAUAGACUCAGUAAGUUUUAUCAUAUGUGAAAAUUAAGAUUACUUACAACUUGGCUUAUAUUAACUGUCUUUUUCAACGCAUACCUGAUAAUUGGUGUGCAAAACAGUUAUUACAUUUGAUACUUGAUUAUAAAUGAAGUGAAGAAGCCCAUCGCAACACAAACUAGGAGAGAAAAGAUGCUAGAUCUAAUACAAGACGACUUUAUAACAACAAUAAUCGAAGAAAAUUGAAAUAGACCUCACAGUCCAAAAAAGAAGCACGGAGUAUUACAAUGGAAGAGUAUACCCGAUUGAGCAGGCACAGUACAAAUGUCCCUAAACCAACCAAUUGCAAAAACCGAAUUCAACUCAA
This is a long non-coding RNA of Papilio polytes (common Mormon), 1960 nucleotides long. RefSeq lists it as uncharacterized. The transcript is spliced from 2 exons. NCBI's taxonomy places the organism in Eukaryota, Metazoa, Arthropoda, Insecta, Lepidoptera, Papilionidae. The record is from RefSeq and is a predicted model, not a curated record.